GACAAUACCAUUCUCUGUCUCAUGGGGCGUCCUCCUGCUGGCAGGCCUGUGCUGCCUGGUCCCCAGCUCCCUGGUUGAGGAUCCCCAGGAAGAUGCUGCCCAAAAGACGGAUACAUCCCACCAUGAUCAAGGGGACUGGGAGGACCUUGCUUGCCAGAAGAUCUCCUAUAACGUCACCGACCUCGCCUUUGAUUUGUACAAAGAGCUGGCUGAUCUAUCACAAACCAGCAAUGUCUUAGUCACCCCAACAAGCGUGGCUAUGGCCUUUGCAAUGCUCUCCCUGGGGACCAAGGCUGACACUCGCACAGAGAUCCUGGAAGGCCUGAAUGUCAACCUCACAGAGACGCCUGAGGCCAAGAUCCACGAAUGCUUCCAGCAAGUUCUCCAAGCCCUCAGCAGGCCAGACACCCGGCUCCAGCUGACCACCGGCAGUAGCCUGUUUGUUAACAAGAGUAUGAAGCUAGUGGACACGUUUUUGGAGGAUACCAAGAAGCUGUACCACUCAGAAGCCUCUUCCAUCAACUUCAGGGACACCGAGGAGGCCAAAGAGCAGAUCAACAAUUAUGUGGAGAAAAGAACUGGAAGAAAAGUAGUGGAUUUGGUCAAACACCUGAAAAAAGACACAAGUCUUGCCCUGGUGGAUUACAUUUCCUUUCACGGCAAGUGGAAAGAUAAAUUCAAGGCUGAGCGCAUUAUGGUAGAGGGCUUCCAUGUGGAUGAUAAGACCAUCAUCAGAGUGCCUAUGAUAAACCACCUGGGUAGAUUUGACAUCCACCGGGACAGGGAGUUAUCCAGCUGGGUGCUGGCACAGCACUAUGUGGGGAACGCCACUGCCUUCUUCAUCCUGCCCGAUCCAAAGAAGAUGUGGCAGUUGGAAGAAAAAUUGACCUACAGCCACCUUGAAAAUAUCCAGAGAGCCUUUGACAUAAG
Molecule: RNA transcript, 930 nt
Organism: Homo sapiens (human)
Lineage: Eukaryota; Metazoa; Chordata; Mammalia; Primates; Hominidae
Gene: SERPINA2
Gene name: serpin family A member 2 (gene/pseudogene)
Exons: 2
Source: RefSeq, marked reviewed